UACGAAGGGUGCAAGCGUUACUCGGAAUUACUGGGCGUAAAGCGUGCGUAGGUGGUUUGUUAAGUCUGAUGUGAAAGCCCUGGGCUCAACCUGGGAAUUGCAUUGGAUACUGGCAGGCUAGAGUGCGGUAGAGGAUGGCGGAAUUCCCGGUGUAGCAGUGAAAUGCGUAGGAGAGUCGGAGGAACAUCUGUGGCGAAGGCGGCCAUCUGGACCAGCACUGACACUGAGGCACGAAAGCGUGGGGAGCAAACAGG
Molecule: ribosomal RNA, 254 nt
Filed under: uncultured bacterium
Lineage: Bacteria
Description: partial 16S ribosomal RNA
Rfam family: Bacterial small subunit ribosomal RNA
Source: RNAcentral